Pipra filicauda (Wire-tailed manakin) is the source of this 588-nucleotide long non-coding RNA. RefSeq lists it as uncharacterized. NCBI's taxonomy places the organism in Eukaryota, Metazoa, Chordata, Aves, Passeriformes, Pipridae. The record is from RefSeq and is a predicted model, not a curated record. The transcript has 2 exons.
ACUGAUAGACACAGUGAAAAAUGAGACCUUUAAGCGUUAUUGCUGGAGUUCUUUCCACCUGUCACAGGUCUUAAUCCACAUCUUAAGAACCCCCCUUUCCAGGUAUAGUCUGAUGAGGUCUAUGGUCAGACCCCACCUCAAGUACUGCAUCCAGCUCCGGAGUCUUCAACACAGGAAGAACACUGACCUGUUGGAGCAAGUCCAAAGGAGGGCCACCAAGCUGAUCAGAGGGAUGGAGCACCUGUCUUAUGAGCAUAGGCUGAGAGAACUGUGAUUGUUCAGCCUGGAAAAGAGAAGGCUGCAGGAUGACUUAAUUGUGGCCUUCUAGUACCUGAGGGGAACUUAUAGGAAAGAUGGGGCAAGACUAUUUACAAGAGCAUAGCUGACAAUACAGUUACUGAACUAACAGCUGAAAGAAUGAGGCUGGAUUGUGACAUGGCCCUGCCACUGAAGGCUGAGAAGCACUCAAGCUCUCAGUGAAGAUGAAGAUCAAUAUCAGAAAAAGCAAGUGUACUUCCCAUGUGGUCUGAGACCACUUUGCUCACCUGAAAAGUAUUUUUUUGUAAAAUACACACACUGAGAAACUCC